UCACCAGGGAGUCAGGUGACUCCUUCCCUCUGUUACGUCACUCCCCGCAGCAGCAGCAGUAGGCGCGGCAGGUGUGCAGAGAGCGAGCGGGAGCAGCGGGGCCGGCGUGACAUAGGCAAAGGGAUCAUUUCCUGAGAAUCCUAGAGCGCUACUGGUUGAGACACAAAUCUCCAUCAUCAGCUUGUUUUGUCUUGUAGGAAAGAUUUUGCAUCCCACAUGAAUUACGAAAAUCCUCCACCUUAUUCUGGCCCAGGCCCGAAUGCUCCAUACCCAC
Molecule: RNA transcript, 274 nt
Organism: Alligator mississippiensis (American alligator)
Lineage: Eukaryota; Metazoa; Chordata; Crocodylia; Alligatoridae
Exons: 3
Source: RefSeq, a predicted model, not a curated record